This 695-nucleotide ribosomal RNA is filed under the name Bacteroides ovatus. Its description in RNAcentral is "bacterial LSU rRNA". It matches the Rfam family "Bacterial large subunit ribosomal RNA", at positions 1 to 648 of the family's 2925-position model. The record is from RNAcentral. Lineage: Bacteria; Pseudomonadati; Bacteroidota; Bacteroidia; Bacteroidales; Bacteroidaceae.
AAAGAAAGUAAGCAAGGGCGCAUGGCGGAUGCCUUGGCUCUCGGAGGCGAUGAAGGACGUGAUAAGCUGCGAUAAGCUUCGGGCAGGUGCAAAUAACCUUUGAUCCGAAGAUUUCCGAAUGGGACAACCCGUCAUUCUGAAGGAAUGACAUCUUGCAUAGCAAGAGGCUAACGCAGGGAACUGAAACAUCUUAGUACCUGCAGGAAAAGAAAAUAAUAAUGAUUCCCCAAGUAGUGGCGAGCGAACGGGGAUUAGCCCAAACCAAUGUUGUUACGGCAAUAUUGGGGUUGUAGGACCACGAUGUCGCAAGAAGUUUAGUGAGAAGAAUUCUUUGGAAAAUGAANNNNNNNNNNGACCACGAUAUCGCAAGAAGUUUAGUGAGAAGAACCCUUUGGAAAAUGGGACCAUAGACGGUGAUAGUCCGGUAUUCGAAGCUAAAUGAAGCGUAGUGGUAUCCUGAGUAGCGCGGGACACGAGGAAUCUUGCGUGAAUCUGCCGGGACCAUCCGGUAAGGCUAAAUACUCCCGAGAGACCGAUAGCGAACCAGUACUGUGAAGGAAAGGUGAAAAGCACUUCGAAUAGAAGAGUGAAAUAGUCCCUGAAACCGUGCGCCUACAAGCGGUCGGAGCAGCGUAAGUUGUGACGGCGUGCCUUUUGCAUAAUGAACCUACGAGUUACUUUUUCCGGCAAGGUUA